ACGGACUACCCGGGUUUCUAAUCCUGUUUGAUCCCCACGCUUUCGUGCCUCAGCGUCAGUUACAGUUUAGUGAGCUGCCUUCGCAAUCGGUGUUCUGUGUCAUAUCUAUGCAUUUCACCGCUACAUGACACAUUCCGCCCACCUCAUCUGUACUCAAGCACUGCAGUAUCAAUGGCAAUUUUACAGUUAAGCUGCAAACUUUCACCACUGACUUACAACGCCGCCUACGCACCCUUUAAACCCAAUAAAUCCGGAUAACGCUUGGAUCCUCCGUAUUACCGCGGCGGCUGGCAC
Molecule: unclassified non-coding RNA, 294 nt
Filed under: uncultured fungus
Lineage: Eukaryota; Fungi
Description: sequence contains ITS1
Source: RNAcentral